Molecule: ribosomal RNA, 411 nt
Filed under: uncultured bacterium
Lineage: Bacteria
Description: bacterial SSU rRNA
Rfam family: Bacterial small subunit ribosomal RNA
Source: RNAcentral
GGACCCGCACAAGCGGUGGAGUAUGUGGUUUAAUUCGAUGCAACACGAAGAACCUUACCAGGGUUUGAAAUCAUUUCAAAACUCCUUGAAAGAGGAGCCUCCUUCGGGAUGAAAUGACAGGUGGUGCAUGGCUGUCGUCAGCUCGUGUUGUGAAAUGUCGAGUUAAGUCUCGUAACGAGCGCAACCCAUGUCUCUUGUUGCUCACUGAGUGCUUAAGAGAGACUGCCGACCAACAUCGGAGGAAGGUGUGGAUGAUGUCAAGUCAGCAUGCCCCUUACAUCCUGGGCUACACACGUACUACAAUGGUAGGGACAAUGAGCUGCGAUCCUGCGAAGGCUAGCCAAUCUCAAAAACCCUAUCUCAGUUCGGAUUGUACUCUGCAACUCGAGUGCAUGAAGCUGGAAUUACUAG